Molecule: long non-coding RNA, 470 nt
Organism: Eptesicus fuscus (big brown bat)
Lineage: Eukaryota; Metazoa; Chordata; Mammalia; Chiroptera; Vespertilionidae
Exons: 3
Source: RefSeq, a predicted model, not a curated record
AGGCAGAGCCAAGGCCCAUUGGACCAGGCCUGAAGGAUUUCAUAGAGCUUGAAUGGGCCCUCUGAUGGCAGGGCCUAGAUACCCCCAGAAAGAGAAAGGGGUACAGAGGGGAGAUCUGCACUGGGCGCCAGGACCGACCUGUCAGGUGUUCGGCAAAGAGCUUUGGGGUUUUGACAAAGAAAAGUAAGAGAUUGAGGUCAUGAUACGCCUCAGAAACCAACUAGGGAGGAGACACCUGAAAUCUUCCGUUGGGCGUCUUCUUCCCAGGACUCUUUAGAACUUGGCAUUCUGUGCCAUCGGGGAGAAACACACUGGGAAGAAAUGAAGCGUGAACAUCCACAAGAGGCUCCAAACAUCCUUCUCCUAUUAGCCAUGAGGCGACCCUGCAGACUCACCAUAUGGCCCAGCAGCCAGUGGCCCCUUGGGAUCCUGGACAGGUUCAUCCACUUAAUUAUUUGGUGACUAUAAAU